AGUGCACUGCCGAACGAUAACGUCAACGGAUGGCUUCGGCGACAGACACGCUUUCCGUUUUACCCGAAGAUAACCGUACCGGCGCUCGCAGAUAAGUUUGACGGUGGUGCGGGACACUUGAGGCUUGAAAAGACCAAUCGGGGUUGCGGUGUACCGGAGCAUUCGAUCGAGCGAGACAAGCGAGAGACGGUAAAGUUGUCUAGCAAACAGACAACAUGGGAGUUAUUUUGGAGGCAUGCUGUUGAGUCUUCACGCCGUUUUGUGUCUCGUAAAGAGUAAGGAUGUUAUAAAAAAAACCUUGGAGAAUUGCCUCACCCAAAAAGCGCAUGCAUGCGAUACUGCUUCUCCUCAUCAACUCCACGAAGCCGUUCGCAGGCGCUAAAACGCUUUUGCAUGGUUUUGCUGGCGAGCAAUCGUGUGGCUUCCUUCUUCAUACUAGCUCCAACCGAUUGAGAUACCGAGCGAGAACAGACCGGCCCCGGGGGUUUCCUGUACGCUUUGUCAUCGCGUCUCCUGUCGGCCAGCGGAAGCCUUUGUCUUCGGACACAUGUUUUGCACUGCCCAGUGCUCCGAACGUACGCGAAGGACAUGCACAACUCACCUCAACAUCCACACGAGGAAGAUGGAGCUAGUCGUAGUAGAUUUAAGUUUCUCUGUUACUCUUUCGGUCAGCCUUCGAUGCAACCUGUAGGUAAUCUGUGCCAGUUCCUGAGCGCCUGGUACGCUCUAAGCAAUCGUUUCUAAUAUAUGCUCGUAUGGAGCGCGGAGCAGAUAGAUACUGUUUGUUGCAGUCGGGUUCAGCGUUUUUUCCCCCUUUUUAAUAAUUCAGUCAAAACGAUUUAAAAUCUCUAUAUUUGCAACUCUCUUAAAUGAUUAAAUUUUGUAUUCACCGCAUGAUGAUCACAAUUUUUAGAUAGAAUAAAAAAAAGGAAGCAAUAAAUUAGUUCAACGGUUACAACCACCAGACAGAUGGUGAGGGUUUCAUGCUUUUAAGGCAUUUUGAAGAGCAAAAACCUACCAUUAUUCAUUUUUAUUAACAAUUUUUUUUUUGUUUUGUCCUGCAAAAUCAGGAGCUUCUUCAAAUCAUAGAUUCGAUGUCGUUUAAAAAUAAUCUCUUUAAUGUUUUAUCCUUUGCUGUCCUAGGAGAAAACUAGGACAACCUGUUAGGGGGAACAAAAAACACCAAUUGAGCCGACCAAAUGCAUAGCUACGGUCCCCGGGCCUCCCACUAACCGCAAACAUAAUGUUACGCUUGUUGCAACGUGUACAUUCUAUCUUUUCAUUUUUUUCUUUUUUGCCCAUCUCCUUUGUCAUCCAUUUUCCCUGUUUACCAACUCACCAAGGGCAUAUGAUAAACGUCGAACGGCCGGUAAGUGAAACGGGAAAUUCGAUUUUCUCUAUUGAAUUAGCUGCAAAAAUGUAUGGUAAGUGCAGCUACUGGUAGGCCAUUCUCACGGCCAUAGGCACGAUGUGCUAGUUUCAAAAAUAAAACAAAACCAACCGAUCCAUUGUCGAGCCUUCAGGGUGGACCCUUACGUACAGCGAGAAAAAAUAGUUCGUUCAGUAAUAUAUGUACGUGACACACAAGAUACACUGGAGUGCCAAUUUUCCUACCUAAACCAGCUAGUUGUGAGAGUGUGUUUUAGUUUUUCGUGUACGUGCCUCUUUCACUGCAUUUACUUUAAUUAAAUUAACUUAUGAAGAAAACUUAUAAGAUUUCUUUUCUCUCCCCGGGGUAGAAAGCAUCAUGUAAUCUAUACCGGUGGGUUUUACCGCUUUAUACUAGGCACCGGUUCUAUGGGUCGCAAUAGUCGCGGACGGUUGCACUAGCAAGUGUCGUUUGUUGAUUAGUCCGGUGGGAAAGAAAACUCAUAGCUGAAACGAGCGUGGCUCAAAACACCCCCAGAACCAUUCAAUCAAUCGAUGGAUGUGUUCGUCAGAAGCCUUAGCAGUGGAGAACCGUUUUGAGUACAGCGGUUCCCUUUAUUGUGAAAUGAAUGUUUCGGUUUGUUUCUCGAAAUUUUGCCUCCAGAGCUUUUAUGACAUAACGUUAGCUGUAAAAAAAUGGUGAGAAAGGUAAAAAUUUCGGUUAUUAUUUUAUUAGUAAAAUUAUCAGGAUUUUUUUAAACAAAUUGAAUUGAAAUCAAAAUUAGCCGAAUACUGUGCAUUGCAGAGCAA
This is an RNA transcript of Anopheles stephensi (Asian malaria mosquito), 2178 nucleotides long. RefSeq lists it as uncharacterized. The transcript has 2 exons. NCBI's taxonomy places the organism in Eukaryota, Metazoa, Arthropoda, Insecta, Diptera, Culicidae. The record is from RefSeq and is a predicted model, not a curated record.